UACGAAGGGGGCUAGCGUUGUUCGGAAUUACUGGGCGUAAAGGGCGCGCAGGCGGUCCUUCAAGUCAGAUGUGAAAGCCCCGGGCUCAACCUGGGAACUGCAUUUGAGACUGAAGGACUAGAGUUCGGGAGAGGAUGGUGGAAUUCCCAGUGUAGAGGUGAAAUUCGUAGAUAUUGGGAAGAACACCGGUGGCGAAGGCGGCCAUCUGGACCGAUACUGACGCUGAGGCGCGAAAGCGUGGGGAGCAAACAGGG
RNAcentral lists this ribosomal RNA (254 nucleotides) under uncultured bacterium. RNAcentral describes it as "partial 16S ribosomal RNA". It matches the Rfam family "Bacterial small subunit ribosomal RNA", at positions 524 to 777 of the family's 1533-position model. The record is from RNAcentral.